UACGGAGGGGGUUAGCGUUGUUCGGAAUUACUGGGCGUAAAGCGCGCGUAGGCGGAUUGGAAAGUUGGGGGUGAAAUCCCGGGGAUCAACCCCGGAACGGCCUCCAAAACUNCCAGUCUUGAGUUCGAGAGAGGUGAGUGGAGUUCCGAGUGUAGAGGUGAAAUUCGUAGAUAUUCGGAGGAACACCAGUGGCGAAGGCGGCUCACUGGCUCGAUACUGACGCUGAGGUGCGAAAGCGUGGGGAGCAAACAGG
This 253-nucleotide ribosomal RNA is filed under the name uncultured bacterium. RNAcentral's name for it is "partial 16S ribosomal RNA". It matches the Rfam family "Bacterial small subunit ribosomal RNA", at positions 524 to 776 of the family's 1533-position model. The record is from RNAcentral.